RNAcentral lists this long non-coding RNA (5786 nucleotides) under Homo sapiens (human). RNAcentral describes it as "HSALNT0150221". The record is from RNAcentral. Lineage: Eukaryota; Metazoa; Chordata; Mammalia; Primates; Hominidae.
GCCCACACUGUUGCCUGGGCUAGAGUGUAGUGGCACGAUCUCAGCUCACUGCAACCUCUGCCUCCCAGAUUCAAGAGAUUCUCCUGCCUCAGUUUCCCGAGCAGCUGGGAUUACAGAUGCCCGCCACCACACCCAGCUAAUUUUUUGUUUUUUUAGUAGAGACAGGGUUUCCCCAUGUUGGCCAGGCUGGUCUCAAACUCCUGACCUCAUGAUUUGCCCGCCUUGGCCUCCUAAAGUGAUGGGAUUACAGGCGUGAGCCACCGCACCCGGCCUGUAUUCAUAUAUAUAUAUAUAUGGAAGUACAGGCUCCAAAGCCCCCAUACUAUUUCCUGUUUCCUCUCCCUUGCACUGGUACAUGUUUGAUAUAUACAACUUUUCAAUAUUUUGGCAGCUUCACCUGUGAUUUUUUUUUAAUAAAAAAAGAAGGGGCAGGAGGUGACAGUAAUCAUCACAAUUUAUUUUUUCUUGUCACAUGAAAAGAAACAAAUCUUUGUGAAAUAAUUUAAUACUUUGAAGGGUGACCCAGAAACACAAGUAAUGGCUAUCAAUGCCUCUUCCAGCCAGUGAAGCUACAAGAACAAGGGAGUCCAAUGCUUCUUUUGAAGAAAGCUUUAAAUUCAUGGCACUAUUUUGGAAUAUGAGAAAAAUAUUUUAAAAUGCAUUUCUUGGCCUCUCUUGUUUUGUUUUGUUUCCUUCCUGCUGCUCUUGGGGAGUAUUAAUAAAAGAGAUGGGAUAAGUGAAAAACACAAGACAGAGAACUAUUUAUUUUUUUUCAGUUUUUUUGCCACUGAAAUGAAAAGAUUAUAAUAAUAAUAGUCACCAUUUAUUAAACUCUGCUAAGCACAUCAUGGCCUGAUUCAAUCCUUUUAGCAUCAUACAAGGAAGUUAUUAUCUCCCCUUUACAGAGAAGGCUGUGGCUGGGGAGGUAGGGGUUGAGAACUUGCCUGAAGUCAUAGCACAUCCUAGCUGCUAGGAACUAUUUUCUGAGCUAGGCUCUUCACACUGACCAUCUUAUAAAGUCUCUCACAGCAUCCCUGGAAUAAAUGCAUUAUUGUCAACAUUUUUAUAACUUACAAAAGGCUAAGUGGUAAAUUGAGGGUAGAAUUCAAACUGAGGUCUUUCCAACUCCAAAACAUGUGCUGUGAUGACCGUGCCAUAAACUUUCUCGUACCUUGUCAGAACAAAUGUACUGAAACUACCAUAGUUUCAGAACUGUAAUAAUCGAUGCAUAGUCCCCAUUGGUAGAUUUAGUGUUUUACAAUAGAGUUUCUGAAAAGCAGUUUUAAAAUACCCUUCAGCAAGCAUUUACUGAGGCCUCGUCUAGGCCAGGACUUGGGCUGGACAUUGCAGGCAUGGCCACAGUAACGAUGACUCAGAACUUGCCCCCAAGGAGUUCACAGUCUGGGAGCAUUGGGGAGAGGAGCAGAAAGUAAACUAGAGAGCACAAAACACAAAGUCACACUCUUGUAUAACAUACACUCAGUAAAAAGGAGGCCCACUAGAGCAGGGUUUCUCAACCUGGCACUAUUGCAUUUGGGGCUGUCUGAGUCUUGCUGUGGGGGCUGCCUGUGCAUUGUGGGGUAUUAGCAGCAUCUCUGAAUUCUACUCAGUAGAUACCAGUAGCCCCCCCACAACCAAAAAUGUCUCUGGACAUUGCCAAAUGUCUCCUGAGGUUGGGGGAGUGAGAAUCACUGCCCCACAGUUACAUCCUGGCAGAGUUAAGCAAUGAAACAAAAUCACUGGCCAUUAAUAAUACUAUAUGAUUUUCAAUUAAGAGCUUAUUUACACACCAAGUACCUUAGAAACCUGAUCUCAUCCCAUCCUCAUCAAAACCUUAUGGUGUGUACAAGCUGGAAUGAUGCCUAUUUUAUAGGUUAGGGCACUGAGGCACAAAGAGUUUAGUGGAUGCCUAGCUGCACAGUAGUGACCGAUAGAGCAGGCAUUUGAAGCCUGCCCUGCCAUCUUAGUCAGUGCACCGAGAUAUGAAGAGCAUUUUUAAAGUGUGCUAGGCUCUUUCAUUUUCAUUACAUGUCCACUGAUAUGGUUUGACUCUGUGUCCCCACCGAAAUCUCAUGUCGAAAUGCAAUCCCCACAUGUUGGAGGAGGGACCUGGUGGGAAGUGAUUGGAUCAUGGAGGUGGAUUUCCCUCCUACUGUUCUCGUGAUAGUGAGUGAGUUCUCAUGAGAUCCAAUGGUUUAAAAGUGUGUGGCACUUCCUCCCUUCACUCUCUCUCUCUCUCCGGCCACCAUGUGAAGAUAUGCGUGCUUCCCCUUCACCCUUCUGCCAUGAUUGUAAGUUUCCUGAGGCUUCCCCAGCCAUGCCUCCUGUACAGCCUGUGGAACUGUGAGUCAAACCCCUUUUCUUCACAAAUUACCCAGUCUCAGGUAGUUCUUUAUAUCAGUGUGAGAACAGACUAAUACAUCCACAGGCUGACCUAAUCUAAAAUUAGCAACACAAAGGAAUGAAUAUUUAUAAUUGUAUACAGUGUUAUCCUUUGUGAAUAUUCUAUCUUAUCCAUUCUGGACCUAAUUAAUCUAGUUUAUUUUGGAUGAUUUGCUUAUGGGAGUCUUGCUUUAACCAGGGAAAAUAUUUAUUAAUUCUGAAGAAUGUAGUAAGUUUCAUAUCUUGAUUUAUAUUUUGGCAGUUCAACCAUGCACUGUGUGGGGGCCAAAAAAAUCCCUAAAAAUAAUCAUAUGAUAUUGGCUAAGACCAAAUGCAGCCAGUUAUUUCUGUUGGUAUGUCUUAAUGAGGGAAAAAGGCAGAGCUGGAUGCCUCUUCUUUCUUAAAUUAAAAACAAAACAAAAUAAACAAGCAAAAAAAACUUCAAGAGACUUCAAAGGUCAGUAGAAAGUUUUCGUUUAAAUUGCCAAUUGUACAAUUUGAGGAAUGCAAGUAAACUGCCCUCAAAUAACUUUUCUAGGUAUUUUUCAAAAAAUUCUAAAGGGAAUAUUUGCUUUCUUAUCUAGGCUUAGAUAGCUUGGAUAGAAUAGUUAUUAUUUUAUAUUCAAUCUUUUACUUUAGCAGACUAUUAGGAUAUGCUUGUUGUGACUCAGUUUUUUGUAUCUACCAUCUGUUGGUUUAUUACCCAAAUCUAUAAGUAAACAUCAACAUAGGAAGCUUUACUGUCACUGAAGCUUUAUUAAAUAAAUGAGUUUAAUUGUGGAUUGUUAUCUGUGAAGUCAGGACCUGGGAGAGAAAAAAGCUACCAGCAACAUUCAGACUGAGAGAGGCCAAAAUACUAAUUCAUAAUUAGCCUGGUACAUAUGAAGGAUCAAAAAGAACAGGACUGUAUGUCUGACCUCUGACAGGCCCUACCACCAUAGUAGAGACUCAGUAUGUAUACUUAAUGAAGGAAUAAUGAAUACAUCAGCAAGAGAAAUAAGAGUGACCAUAUGUUCCUUAAGAGAAGCAAAGAGCAGCUCCUGUUCCUGCUGGAAUGAGUCUCCAUUCCUUGCAACAGAAGUGUCCUAAGUUAUAGCCAGAGGACGGGGGCACAUUGACAAAACAUAAAGCGGAUAUGAUAAUAACAAGGUACCAUUCCAGCAAGAACAUCUGAAGAAAGAAGCAGUGUUGUUUAUCUUUCCUUCAUCUAUUCUGAAACUAAAAUCCUUAACCAAAUUUAUUUCCGAAGUUUAACCCUUUAAUAAACUGGCCUCUGACUCCACCUGGUGGAGAUACAUAAAUCUAUGAAAAUAAACCAAUCCAAAUGAAGAUUUUAAAGUCAUCAGCUCUCUUUCAUGUCUCAAAGAAAAAACACAUAUCCCGAAAUUCAAAUAGAUGACCUUCUCGGAUGUGUUAUAGGCACUCAGAAGCCCCAAAGAAAAAAUAGUUUGAGUUGAUCAUUUGACUGUUGCUCUCAGCCUUCAUUUCUGCCUUUCUAGGUUGUGUCAGGCAUUUUGACUGUCCAGGGGCCCUGCAUAUUCUAUUUUCCUAGUUACUUGCUAAGGUUUGAAUAUUUGUCCCCCUCCAAAACUCAUGUUGAAAUUUAAUCCCAAAUGUGGCAGUAUUGAGAGGUGGGGCUUUUCAGAGGUGAUUGGGUCAUGAGAGCUCUGUUCUCAUGAGUGGAUUAAUCCAUUCAUGGAUUAAUGGAAUAAUGGACUAAUGGAUUAAUGAGUUAUCAUAGGAGUGGGACUGGUGCCUUUAUAAUAAGAGGAAGAGAGACCUGAGCUAGCACACUCACCCUCUUCACCAUGUGAGGUCCUGUGCCACCAUGGGACUCUGCAGAGUCUCAUCAGCAAGAAGCCACUUACCAGAUGUGGCCCCUUGACCUUGGGCUUCUCAGCUUCCAUAACUGUAAGAAAUAAAUUUCUUUGUAACUUGCCCAGUUUCAAGUAUUCUGUUAUAAGGAACUGAAAAUGGACUAAGAUACUUUCCUAUUGGCUUCUGGUUAGUUUCUAUCAAUAAGAAUUACUGGUAGAAGUUUGAAAGGUAGGAGUGGAGAGAUGGGACCUUUUUUAUUUUAGUUUCUAUUGGCAUUUUCCAGCAGCAAGGAACAAUGGGCAUUUCAUCAUCAUCUUUUAGCAUUUCCAGCACCCACAGCAAGGAGUCCUUUCACCUGCUUAGUAGCAGCCCUUCAGUAAUCCUAGCAUCUAUUUUAGGUGGUGUUUCAUUUGUGGUCUCAGGACUGGCCCAGGUAGUUCUCUUCUCCAUGAUUCUGGACUCUGGUGAUUCCAUCACCUCCACGUACGCCUUCAGCCAGAAGGACUGUCGCUGUUCCCAGCAGCCAUUUAGCAUAGUUACCUAAGUGUAACCAAAUUCCUGUAUUAUAUUCACUUGUUUGAAAAACCUUGAGUGAUUUCUGACCCACUUCUGUCUCAAGGCCUGAAUAUUCUGAUUCAGAUGAAUUUCAGAAAAUGGAAAAAAAAACUUAGUGAAUAAAAAAGAUUAAAUAGUUUUUAGAAAACCAUAGGAGACAAAAAAGCAACUGGAAGUCACACACACACACACACACACACACACAUUCUUUUAACUUUAUAAGUUAUAAUAAAUUAUGGUAAAAGAGUGACAAGUUUACCUACAUGAAUAUUGAAGCCUUUGUAAAAUCUUUAAAGAAAAAAGGGUACCAAUACAACAGAAAAUUUCAGACUGGAAAAAUAUUGGUAGUCAUCGUCUUAGUUUGAGCAUUUAUCAAUUGCAUUAUAGCAAAACCCUCCAAACUGCUCUCUCUGCUUUGAUUGUCUCUUUUUUUUCCAAAUCUUUUCUGCAUAUUGUCAAAGUUACAUUUCUAAGGAGCAAAUUAAAUGCUGUCACUAUGCUCUUUGAAUUAUCAGUCAACAAAGAGAUUUUUUAAACUAAUUAAUUUAUAAUUAUCCACAGAAAUACAUAUUAAAAGGACAGUGAGGUGUCUGCUAACUCUUUACUCUCUUGGAUGCAGCUUAAUUUCUUCUUCCAGGGACACUUUUCUGACAAUUUUGUUCUUAUACAAUUAUAGCAUUUUUUUUUCUUUUUUUGAGACAGGGUUUCACUCUGUCACACAGGCUGGAGUGCAGUGGCAUGAUCUUGGCUCACUGCAACCUCCGCUUCCUGGGUUCAAGCAAUUCUCAUGCCUCAGCCUCCAAAGUAGCUGGGAUUACAGGCAUGCACCUUCACAUUCAGCUCAUUUUUUUUUUUCUGUAUUUUUAGUAGAGACAGGGUUUCACCAUGUUGGCCAGGCUGGUAUUGAACUUCUGACCUCAAAUGAUCCGCCCACCUCGGCCUCCCAAAGUGCUGGUAUUACAGGCGUGAGCCACUGCGCCUGGCCAGUUAUAGCAAUUUUAAAAACAAUAUUCUAAUCAUGUCCUUUGCAG